CCGACUUGAGAGGGUGAUCGGCCACACUGGGACUGAGACACGGCCCAGAGUCCUACGGGAGGCAGCAGUAGGGAAUCUUCUGCAAUGGACGAAAGUCUGACGGAGCAACGCCGCGUGAGUGAUGAAGGUUUUCGGAUCGUAAAGCUCUGUUGUUAGGGAAGAACAAGUGCAAGAGUAACUGCUUGCACCUUGACGGUACCUAACCAGAAAGCCACGGCUAACUACGUGCCAGCAGCCGCGGUAAUACGUAGGUGGCAAGCGUUGUCCGGAAUUAUUGGGCGUAAAGGGCUCGCAGGCGGUUUCUUAAGUCUGAUGUGAAAGCCCCCGGCUCAACCGGGGAGGGUCAUUGGAAACUGGGAAACUUGAGUGCAGAAGAGGAGAGUGGAAUUCCACGUGUAGCGGUGAAAUGCGUAGAGAUGUGGAGGAACACCAGUGGCGAAGGCGACUCUCUGGUCUGUAACUGACGCUGAGGAGCGAAAGCGUGGGGAGCGAACAGGAUUAGAUACCCUGGUAGUCCACGCCGUAAACGAUGAGUGCUAAGUGUUAGGGGGUUUCCGCCCCUUAGUGCUGCAGCUAACGCAUUAAGCACUCCGCCUGGGGAGUACGGUCGCAAGACUGAAACUCAAAGGAAUUGACGGGGGCCCGCACAAGCGGUGGAGCAUGUGGUUUAAUUCGAAGCAACGCGAAGAACCUUACCAGGUCUUGACAUCCUCUGACAACCCUAGAGAUAGGGCUUUCCCUUCGGGGACAGAGUGACAGGUGGUGCAUGGUUGUCGUCAGCUCGUGUCGUGAGAUGUUGGGUUAAGUCCCGCAACGAGCGCAACCCUUGAUCUUAGUUGCCAGCAUUCAGUUGGGCACUCUAAGGUGACUGCCGGUGACAAACCGGAGGAAGGUGGGGAUGACGUCAAAUCAUCAUGCCCCUUAUGACCUGGGCUACACACGUGCUACAAUGGACAGAACAAACGGCUGCGAGACCGCAAGGUUUAGCCAAUCCCACAAAUCUGUUCUCAGUUCGGAUCGCAGUCUGCA
Molecule: ribosomal RNA, 1029 nt
Filed under: Bacillus aerius
Lineage: Bacteria; Bacillati; Bacillota; Bacilli; Caryophanales; Bacillaceae
Description: bacterial SSU rRNA
Rfam family: Bacterial small subunit ribosomal RNA
Source: RNAcentral